CCCUUAGAUGUUCUGGGCCGCACGCGCGCUACACUGACUGGUGCAACAAGUGUCGCUCCUUGGCCGAUAGGCCUGGGCAAUCUUUGAACGCCAGUCGUGAUGGGGAUAGAUUCUUGCAAUUUUUGAUCUUCAACGAGGGAUUCCUAGUAAACGCGAGUCAUCAACUCGCAUUGAUUACGUCCCUGCCCUUUGUACACACCGCCCGUCGCACCUACCGAUUGAAUGGUCCGGUGAACCCUCCGGAUCGGCCCGCGCCAACGCAAGUUGAGCAAAGGCCGAGAAGUUGGGUAAACCUUACCAUUUAGAGGAAGGUGAAGUCGUAACA
Molecule: ribosomal RNA, 325 nt
Filed under: uncultured eukaryote
Lineage: Eukaryota
Description: partial 18S ribosomal RNA
Rfam family: Eukaryotic small subunit ribosomal RNA
Source: RNAcentral